UUUUUUUUUUUUUUUUUGGAGCCAUAUGGACUGAUUCAAUUUUGUCAGAAGCAUAAAUGGCAAUAAAGUUAUGCUUUAUUUUAAGCACGGUUUUUUGUUCAUUCAAAUAUUUCUUGUCAGCAUUUACUCAAUUGGCUUUAGCACUGAUGCUAAUAGCCCUAAUUUUAAUUUUGUGUUCAUGAUCAAAGGCUGUUGAAGUGACUAAUGA
RNAcentral lists this unclassified non-coding RNA (208 nucleotides) under Hevea brasiliensis (rubber tree). Lineage: Eukaryota; Viridiplantae; Streptophyta; Magnoliopsida; Malpighiales; Euphorbiaceae. The record is from RNAcentral.